CCCAGAGAGCUUCCUCUUUAUAAGAGGGGCAGGGGUCAAAACUAUAGGCCUUUCCCGGUACUUCUGAGCCGAAGAGCCCAGCAGGUUGUUUCUGGUUAUCACGGCUGACUCACUGUUCUCAGAAUAUUCUAGCAAGUAUUUGGAAAUUUUUACUGGGACCAGGCUGCAGUUUUAUACAUCUCUCCCUUGGGCCCUCUAGAGGAACACACCUGAAACGGAAACAGAGAGUUUUGUUCAAGUCCUCUUUUAUCCUUCAAGGAAAUGCC
RNAcentral lists this long non-coding RNA (266 nucleotides) under Dasypus novemcinctus (nine-banded armadillo). RNAcentral describes it as "lncRNA (ENSDNOG00000051224.1)". Lineage: Eukaryota; Metazoa; Chordata; Mammalia; Cingulata; Dasypodidae. The record is from RNAcentral.